RNAcentral lists this ribosomal RNA (538 nucleotides) under Salmonella enterica subsp. enterica serovar Johannesburg. Its description in RNAcentral is "bacterial SSU rRNA". It matches the Rfam family "Bacterial small subunit ribosomal RNA", at positions 977 to 1515 of the family's 1533-position model. Lineage: Bacteria; Pseudomonadati; Pseudomonadota; Gammaproteobacteria; Enterobacterales; Enterobacteriaceae. The record is from RNAcentral.
GGUCUUGACAUCCACGGAAGAAUUCAGAGAUGGAUUUGUGCCUUCGGGAACCGUGAGACAGGUGCUGCAUGGCUGUCGUCAGCUCGUGUUGUGAAAUGUUGGGUUAAGUCCCGCAACGAGCGCAACCCUUAUCCUUUGUUGCCAGCGGUCCGGCCGGGAACUCAAAGGAGACUGCCAGUGAUAAACUGGAGGAAGGUGGGGAUGACGUCAAGUCAUCAUGGCCCUUACGACCAGGGCUACACACGUGCUACAAUGGCGCAUACAAAGAGAAGCGACCUCGCGAGAGCAAGCGGACCUCAUAAAGUGCGUCGUAGUCCGGAUUGGAGUCUGCAACUCGACUCCAUGAAGUCGGAAUCGCUAGUAAUCGUGGAUCAGAAUGCCACGGUGAAUACGUUCCCGGGCCUUGUACACACCGCCCGUCACACCAUGGGAGUGGGUUGCAAAAGAAGUAGGUAGCUUAACCUUCGGGAGGGCGCUUACCACUUUGUGAUUCAUGACUGGGGUGAAGUCGUAACAAGGUAACCGUAGGGGAACCUGC